Camelus dromedarius (Arabian camel) is the source of this 597-nucleotide long non-coding RNA. RefSeq lists it as uncharacterized. The transcript has 3 exons. NCBI's taxonomy places the organism in Eukaryota, Metazoa, Chordata, Mammalia, Artiodactyla, Camelidae. The record is from RefSeq and is a predicted model, not a curated record.
CCCCAGGUGAGAGCUCACCUGACGCCGUGCGGGCCCGGGUACGCAGGGGCUGAACGUGAACCAACCUCCCUCCGCCCCCGGGCGUGGAGAAACUAGGAUGGGGAGUUUCUGCCUACCCAGCCUGGGUGGAGGGACGCGCAGGAUUCCCUCCCCCAAGGAUCAAGGGGUCUGGGGCGUAAAAGGAGGGAGGAGCCUGGAGUCUGCGGAGAAGUCGUGCGGCUCUCUUGCCAGGCACUUUAUUUCUGACUGUCAGAAAAUGGUCACUGCAGAUAUGCCUAUGAUGCAGAUGAUGCCCUCCUAUGUGAGGUACCCUUUCGGAGUGCACAACCUGCACAGCUGUACAUGGUCGUCCUAACAGCAUCUACCCAGUCGUCCUCUGGUUUACAGGGACACUAUGGCCUGACCCACGUGGACGGCUGCAAGAACAAAGAAUUCCUACAGCAAGAAGUUUGCAACAACUAACCACACCCACUCCCCUGUUUUUUUGUAUAAAGGGAGCCUGUAUUCUGACUGGAGUAGGAUGGUUCUCCAAGACAUUAGUCUGCCAUCCUCUCGGUCUGUCGGCUUUCCAAAUAAAGUUGCUAUUCCUUGCCCCAA